RNAcentral lists this ribosomal RNA (460 nucleotides) under uncultured bacterium. RNAcentral's name for it is "partial 16S ribosomal RNA". It matches the Rfam family "Bacterial small subunit ribosomal RNA", at positions 338 to 795 of the family's 1533-position model. The record is from RNAcentral.
CCUACGGGUGGCAGCAGUGAGGAAUAUUGGUCAAUGGCCGUAAGGCUGAACCAGCCAAGUAGCGUGAGGGAAGACUGCCCUAUGGGUUGUAAACCUCUUUUAUGCGGGGAUAAAGGUGUCCACGUGUGGAUGUUUGCAGGUACCGCAUGAAUAAGGACCGGAUAAUUCCGUGCCAGCAGCCGCGGUAAUACGGAAGGUCCGUGCGUUGUCCGGAUUUAGUGGGUUUAAAGGGAGCGUAGGCCGGUCUUUAAGCGUGCCGUGAAAUUUUGUGGCUCAACCAUGAGAGUGCGGCGCGAACUGGAGACCGUGAGUGCGCGGAAGGCAGGCGGAAUUCGUGGUGUAGCGGUGAAAUGCUUAGAUAUCACGAAGAACCCCGAUUGCGAAGGCAGCCUGCCGCAGCGUUACUGACGCUGAAGCUCGAAAGCGCGGGUAUCGAACAGGAUUAGAUACCCCGGGAGUC